UUCGUAAACUCACUUCCAGGUGUCUGGAAACGGUUGCAAGUCCGUGAAAAGAGCGAGCACGAA
Molecule: non-coding RNA, 63 nt
Filed under: unclassified sequences
Source: RNAcentral